This 1065-nucleotide ribosomal RNA is filed under the name Diaporthe amygdali. RNAcentral's name for it is "SSU rRNA". It matches the Rfam family "Eukaryotic small subunit ribosomal RNA", at positions 58 to 1136 of the family's 1831-position model. The record is from RNAcentral. Lineage: Eukaryota; Fungi; Ascomycota; Sordariomycetes; Diaporthales; Diaporthaceae.
ACUCAGUCAGUUUAGCACAUAAACGGCGAAACUGCGAAUGGCUCAUUAAAUCAGUUAUCGUAUAUUUGAUAGUACCUACUACAUGGAUAACCGUGGUAAUUCUAGAGCUAAUACAUGCUUAAAACCCCGACUUCGGAAGGGGUGUAUUUAUUAGAUUAAAAACCAAUGCCCUCCGGGGCUCACUGGUGAUUCAUAAUAACUUCUCGAAUCGCAUGGCCUUGUGCCGGCGAUGGUUCAUUCAAAUUUCUGCCCUAUCAACUUUCGACGGCUGGGUCUUGGCCAGCCGUGGUUACAACGGGUAACGGAGGGUUAGGGCUUGACCCCGGAGAAGGAGCCUGAGAAACGGCUACUACAUCCAAGGAAGGCAGCAGGCGCGCAAAUUACCCAAUCCCGACUCGGGGAGGUAGUGACAAUAAAUACUGAUACAGGGCUCUUUUGGGUCUUGUAAUUGGAAUGAGUACAAUUUAAAUCCCUUAACGAGGAACAAUUGGAGGGCAAGUCUGGUGCCAGCAGCCGCGGUAAUUCCAGCUCCAAUAGCGUAUAUUAAAGUUGUUGCAGUUAAAAAGCUCGUAGUUGAACCUUGGGCCUGGCUGGCCGGUCUGCCUCACCGCAUGCACUGGUCCGGCCGGGCCUUUCCCUCUGGGGAGCCGCAUGCCCUUCACUGGGUGUGCCGGGGAACCAGGACUUUUACUGUGAAAAAAUUAGAGUGUUCAAAGCAGGCAUAUGCUCGAAUACAUUAGCAUGGAAUAAUAGAAUAGGAACGUCGCGGUUCUAUUUUGUUGGUUUCUAGGACCGCCGUAAUGAUUAAUAGGGACAGUCGGGGGCAUCAGUAUUCAAUCGUCAGAGGUGAAAUUCUUGGAUCGAUUGAAGACUAACUACUGCGAAAGCAUUUGCCAAGGAUGUUUUCAUUAAUCAGGAACGAAAGUUAGGGGAUCGAAAACGAUCAGAUACCGUUGUAGUCUUAACAUAAACUAUGCCGACAAGGGAUCGGGCGGGGUAUUUCUUGACCCGUCGGAACUUACCCGAAAGAAAGUUUUGGGGUUCGGGGGGGAGUAGGUCGCAGGG